This 346-nucleotide ribosomal RNA is filed under the name uncultured eukaryote. RNAcentral describes it as "SSU rRNA". It matches the Rfam family "Eukaryotic small subunit ribosomal RNA", at positions 594 to 945 of the family's 1831-position model. The record is from RNAcentral.
AUAGCGUAUAUUAAAGUUGUUGCAGUUAAAAAGCUCGUAGUUGAACUUCAGACCUGGCUGGGUGGUCCGCCUCACGGUGUGUACUGUUCGGCUGGGUCUUACCUCUUGGUGAGCUGGCAUGUCCUUCACUGGGUGUGUCAGGGAACCAGGACUUUUACCUUGAGAAAAUUAGAGUGUUCAAAGCAGGCCUGCGCCUGAAUACAUUAGCAUGGAAUAAUAAAAUAGGACGUGCGGUUCUAUUUUGUUGGUUUCUAGAGUCGCCGUAAUGAUUAAUAGGGAUAGUUGGGGGCAUUAGUAUUCAGUUGCUAGAGGUGAAAUUCUUGGAUUUACUGAAGACUAACUACUG